GGGGAUGUAAUGGGUUUCGACAGUAAUUUAGAAGCAUAGGUAGCGAGUAGUGGAUGGUCGCUUUGGCCACUUAAAAAAAGCGAAAUAAAAAUAAACGCUGAUAAUCAAUUAGCAUACGCUGCCUAGGUGCAGUGUCGUCUUACCAUAAAGCCUACUGUUAUGGAUAAGGCGUCGACUAAAGUAGGAAACAAAGUUAUUCUUGCCUUGGGGAUAAUGGGUAAAAAAAGGCUACCAAAAUUCCAAGCGUGUUUGUUUGCAAGGAAUAGAGGAAAAAAACAAUAACAAACUACACUCGUAGAAAUCUAUGUGGAAAAAUUAUUGGACGAGGGUUCAACUCCCUCCAUCUCCACCA
RNAcentral lists this transfer-messenger RNA (352 nucleotides) under pig gut metagenome. It matches the Rfam family "transfer-messenger RNA". Rfam says of the family: Bacterial tmRNA, also known as 10Sa RNA or SsrA, is named for its dual tRNA and mRNA-like properties. The record is from RNAcentral.